AUUGAACGCUGGCGGAAUGCUUUACACAUGCAAGUCGAACGGUAGAGGGGGCAACCCCUCGAGAGUGGCGAACGGGUGAGUAAUAUAUCGGAACGUGCCCAGUCGUGGGGGAUAACGUAGCGAAAGUUACGCUAAUACCGCAUACGAUCUACGGAUGAAAGCGGGGGAUCGCAAGACCUCGCGCGAUUGGAGCGGCCGAUAUCAGAUUAGGUAGUUGGUGGGGUAAAGGCUCACCAAGCCAACGAUCUGUAGCUGGUCUGAGAGGACGACCAGCCACACUGGAACUGAGACACGGUCCAGACUCCUACGGGAGGCAGCAGUGGGGGAAUUUUGGGACAAUGGACGCAAGUCUGAUCCAGCCAUUCCGCGUGCAGGAUGAAGGCCCUCGGGUUGUAAACUGCUUUUGUACGGAACGAAAAGGUCUCUCUUAAUACGGGGGGCUCAUGACGGUACCGUAAGAAUAAGCACCGGCUAACUACGUG
This 482-nucleotide ribosomal RNA is filed under the name uncultured bacterium. RNAcentral's name for it is "bacterial SSU rRNA". It matches the Rfam family "Bacterial small subunit ribosomal RNA", at positions 30 to 507 of the family's 1533-position model. The record is from RNAcentral.